RNAcentral lists this non-coding RNA (28 nucleotides) under Mus musculus (house mouse). The record is from RNAcentral. Lineage: Eukaryota; Metazoa; Chordata; Mammalia; Rodentia; Muridae.
UAGUUUACAAGUAGGGAUUUUGAAGUGG